GCCAGGCAUGGUGGUGCACACCUGUAAUCCCAGUGGCUUGGGAGGUUGAGGCAGGAGGAUCGCGAGUUCAGAGCCAGCGUCAGCAACAGCGAGGCACUAAGCAACUCAGUGAGCCCCUGUCUCUA
This 125-nucleotide small RNA is filed under the name Marmota monax (woodchuck). Lineage: Eukaryota; Metazoa; Chordata; Mammalia; Rodentia; Sciuridae. The record is from RNAcentral.